RNAcentral lists this ribosomal RNA (460 nucleotides) under uncultured bacterium. RNAcentral's name for it is "partial 16S ribosomal RNA". It matches the Rfam family "Bacterial small subunit ribosomal RNA", at positions 338 to 795 of the family's 1533-position model. The record is from RNAcentral.
CCUACGGGUGGCAGCAGUGAGGAAUAUUGGUCAAUGGCCGAGAGGCUGAACCAGCCAAGUCGCGUGAGGGAAGACGGCCCUACGGGUUGUAAACCUCUUUUGUCAGGGAGCAAAGCGAACCACGUGGGGUUCAUUGAGAGUACCCGAAGAAAAAGCAUCGGCUAACUCCGUGCCAGCCGCCGCGGUAAUACGGAGGAUGCGAGCGUUAUCCGUGUUGAUUGGGUUUAAAGGGUGCGUAGGCGGUUCGAUAAGUUAGAGGUGAAAUCCCGGGGCUCAACUCCGGCACUGCCUGUGAUACUGUCGGGCUAGAGUGUAGUUGCGGUAGGCGGAAUGUAUGGUGUAGCGGUGAAAUGCAUAGAGAUCAUACAGAACACCGAUUGCGAAGGCAGCUUACCAAACUACGACUGACGUUGAGGCACGAAAGCGUGGGGAGCAAACAGGAUUAGAUACCCGAGUAGUC